This is a long non-coding RNA of Silurus meridionalis, 1100 nucleotides long. RefSeq lists it as uncharacterized. NCBI's taxonomy places the organism in Eukaryota, Metazoa, Chordata, Actinopteri, Siluriformes, Siluridae. The transcript is spliced from 3 exons. The record is from RefSeq and is a predicted model, not a curated record.
CUAGAGGAUGUCAGGCUCUCAUGCCACUCUCAUAGAGUCUUCUUCUGACACCAGUAGCCUACUGGAGGUCAUUUUGCUGGGUCUGGUAGUACUUCUCCUCUUUAAAAAAGAAACUGCUUAAUUGUUUUCCUCCUUAGUCCCUGUCCAACUCUCCUCAUGUGACCGGCUAUCUCUGGUAUCUCCUCCAUACUCUUGAUAAUGUGCAUGGAAGACACUCUAAACCUCCUCGAGAUGGCACGCAUGGAUGUGACUGCAUGGAGAAGCUGGACUACCUCUGCCAACUGAUUGAGAUGCAGUUGGCACAGAGGCAAAGCAAGCUCAGGAUCCUGCAGGUGAAUUACAGGCGAGCAGGAGAUUCAGUGUUGCACUGCAACGAAGAAGCUUCUGCGUUAGGUGUCUCCAGACCAGCAGAGGUCUCUAUGAUGUGGAGGCCUCAACUGAUACCUGCAGAGCUGAACUGCAGCAUCUGUGAUCCACAUGGAUCUCUGAAGGAGAACAAUUCAAGAUAAAAAAAAGGUUUCAGGUGGAUGCUUUUAUUUAUCAGUGACAGCAUGGAAAUAAAAUCGUCCAUCACCACCAACUAACCUGGUGACUGUUUCCCAAAUUCACUGUCAAGUUUCCACAUGUUGGGUGACCUCUACUAGUGAUCAUUGUUCUGUGAUGUCUUGGAGAGUUUUUCUGUUUGGUUGGUAUGUUCUACAGAUGUGUGAAUGAAAGUUGGACAGGACCUUCUAGACAACUAGCUGGUAAUUGAACUAAAGCCAGUCAGAUUUGGACUUUAAUGAAUUACGCAGAUUUCUACUGAGCACUAAAUGUUUUGUAUGUGUAGGUGUUUUUACCAAAAAUCGUGUAUAUUUGGGGGUGAUUUUGUUUGAGAAUUUGUGGCUGUCCAUGUUUGGCUGUUAGUGUAAUGAGUGGAUUUUAUGAUGCCUAAUGUGCUGGAGAAGCAAGAAAGCACAAGAGGACAGAGAUUAAAAGAUUAAUGAUCGUUUAAAAUUUUUUUUACAAUACUGUAUGACAGAACAGUCUGAAACAAUGAUAAACAUGUUUAAAGGGUAUUAAAUAUUAAAUUAUUUUAUUUUAUUAUUAUUUUUUUUAAA